RNAcentral lists this unclassified non-coding RNA (353 nucleotides) under soil metagenome. RNAcentral's name for it is "partial contains 5.8S ribosomal RNA, internal transcribed spacer 2, and large subunit ribosomal RNA". The stretch from base 1 to 120 matches the Rfam family "5.8S ribosomal RNA", at positions 35 to 154 of the family's 154-position model. The record is from RNAcentral.
GAUGAAGAACGUAGCGAAAUGCGAUAAGUAAUGUGAAUUGCAGAAUUCAGUGAAUCAUCGAAUCUUUGAACGCACAUUGCGCCCGCCAGUAUUCUGGCGGGCAUGCCUGUUCGAGCGUCAUUACAACCCUCAGGCCCCCGGGCCUGGCGUUGGGGAUCGGCGGAAGCCCCCUGCGGGCACAACGCCGUCCCCCAAAUACAGUGGCGGUCCCGCCGCAGCUUCCAUUGCGUAGUAGCUAACACCUCGCAACUGGAGAGCGGCGCGGCCACGCCGUAAAACACCCAACAUCUGAAUGUUGACCUCGAAUCAGGUAGGAAUACCCGCUGAACUUAAGCAUAUCAAUAAGCGGAGGA